Molecule: ribosomal RNA, 810 nt
Filed under: crenarchaeote enrichment culture clone ASK_7
Lineage: Archaea; Thermoproteati; Thermoproteota
Description: bacterial SSU rRNA
Rfam family: Archaeal small subunit ribosomal RNA
Source: RNAcentral
ACUGCUCAGUAACACGUGGUCAAUCUACCCUCAGGACGGAGAUAACCUCGGGAAACUGAGGCUAAUAUCCGAUAGAUAAUGGAUCCUGGAAUGGUUCAUUAUUCAAACGGCACAUUGCUCAUGCGCAGUGUGUCGCCUGAGGAUGAGACUGCACCCUAUCAGGUAGUUGGUGGGGUAAUGGCCCACCAAGCCUAUAACGGGUACGGGCCCUGAGAGGGGGAGCCCGGAGAUGGGCACUGAGACAAGGGCCCAGGCCCUACGGGGCGCAGCAGGCGCGAAACCUCUGCAAUGCGCGAAAGCGCGACAGGGCCACCCCGAGUGCUAGCCGCUGAGGUUAGCUUUUCCUUAGUGUAGUAAGCUAAGGGAAUAAGCGGGGGGCAAGCCUGGUGUCAGCCGCCGCGGUAAUACCAGCUCCGCGAGUGGUCGGGACGAUUAUUGGGCCUAAAGCGUCCGUAGCCGGCCUAUCAAGUCUCUGGUUAAAUCUCAAGGCUCAACCUUGAGAUCGCUGGAGAUACUGUUAGGCUAGGGGGCGGGAGAGGUUGAGGGUACUUCGCGGGUAGGGGCGAAAUCCUAUAAUCCGCGAAGGACCACCAGUGGCGAAGGCGCUCAACUGGAACGCGCCCGACGGUGAGGGACGAAAGCCAGGGGAGCAAAGGGGAUUAGAUACCCCCGUAGUCCUGGCUGUAAACGAUGCGGGCUAGGUGUUGGGUUGGCUUCGUGCCAACCCGGUGCCGCAGUGAAGACGAUAAGCCCGCCGCCUGGGAAGUACGGCUGCAAGGCUGAAACUUAAAGGAAUUGGCGGGGGAGCAC